This 35-nucleotide ribosomal RNA is filed under the name Pseudocercospora cordiana. RNAcentral's name for it is "partial 18S ribosomal RNA". The record is from RNAcentral. Lineage: Eukaryota; Fungi; Ascomycota; Dothideomycetes; Mycosphaerellales; Mycosphaerellaceae.
UCCGUAAGGUGAACCUGCGGAGGAUCAUUAAUGUA